Molecule: long non-coding RNA, 460 nt
Organism: Raphanus sativus (radish)
Lineage: Eukaryota; Viridiplantae; Streptophyta; Magnoliopsida; Brassicales; Brassicaceae
Exons: 2
Source: RefSeq, a predicted model, not a curated record
GACGAAGCCGUUGAAGUUUGACACUUCAACUUUAUUUGUCCACUAUACGGUUGAUUUUGUUUGCUGCGAUCUAUAUAUACCCACUAAUGGUCGAGACGUGAUAGAAGAACUACAAAACAAUGACAAUGAAGAAAACGAUACAAACGUUUCUUCUUUUAAGUUUGGUUCAUAUACUUCUAUGUGCAUCUUUUCAGGUUGGUGUGACAGAGGCUAGAUUCCGGCACCUAGGUGUUGGUGCUGGAAGACAAAUGAUAGCUGUAGGAGCUCCCCCAUCUCCUGAAGAUGGACAUGGCCGGUUCUGAUCACAGCUAGAAGAAACAUUUGUUUUGGUCUCUAAAUUUUAGAAAGCUAUUAUACAUGGAUUUCAUAGUCCCAAAAUUGUCGAAUUUUUAUAUCAAUUCUACUAAAACUGGAUCAUGACCAGUUAAUAAAGGUCUGGUCCAAUAAUUUAUUUCAGUUA